AUGCUCAUAAGGCUAGCUGCUUUCUCAAGACUUUUGUGCACAUUCACCCCUUUACUCACUGCUGAAGAGGCCAGAAAAGAAGCUCCACUGAGCAGCAUAGUAAGUGCCAGAUGUAUUGGCCAUGGUGCUAUUGGAGUCAUGUCCCUGUCCAUGACAGCAGUCAGCACAGAUGCUGCAGAAAAGGACAUGUAUCUUUCCAUCCUGCUUUACAAGCGUUGCAGACCAAGACAAGCUGCAGUUACCAGACAGUUGGCAUCCUUGGGUGCAGAUCCCAACCCCCAGCCAAAAGCUAAUUGCUCGCAGCAAGACAAACUCUCUUCCUUCUCAUCUACAGAGUGCUGGCAGAAAGCUGCAGACAAACAAACAAUCUGCUAAGCAUUUCUACCUUUGGUCCUAUGGUAAAUAAUUAAACUCCCUCCAGGUUAUACGUUUUCUUCAGUAAAUGGACAUCUGAGAAAUAGCGCAGUACACACUCCCCCAGACAAUGCCCUUUCUACAGCUUGUGCCAUUUUGCACAUCUGUAGUCAAAAGCUACCGCUUGUUCAAAUCCAGCUCCCAUCUGCUGUGGUUUCACCACAGUACUUGCUCACGGUUAACAAGAAGUAAUGCUCCCUGCCAUUUCCAUUGGCAGAUUCUCCAAGAACUUAAAAGUAACUCUUCAUUGCAGAGCAGGGCUUACCAAUCACUAUUCUGCAUAGAAAGAAAAAAAAAAAAAAAGAAAAGAAAGAAAAAACAAAGAGCAAAAUCUGCCCCCUGUAUGGGGCAGUAUAGGGUUUUAAGGAGCAUUUUGUAAUCUGUACAUAGGGAUCUUUGGAUUAGUUGCAUAAACGUGUUUUGUUUUUUUGUUAUUUUUUCUUCCCAUGGACCUUUCUAAAUUAAAGAUAUUAAGUGACUUAGAGGCCAAGCUUGAUGAUGCACCUGCUCCCUUCAAAUCUGGAGCAAUCAGUGAAAUACAGCUCUUAGCCUGGCAAUCUCUCUGAAGCUGCAGGAGAGCCACAAGGAGAACACAUGGAAGAAAU
Molecule: long non-coding RNA, 1019 nt
Filed under: Phasianus colchicus (ring-necked pheasant)
Lineage: Eukaryota; Metazoa; Chordata; Aves; Galliformes; Phasianidae
Description: lncRNA (ENSPCLG00000020814.1)
Source: RNAcentral